Non-coding RNA from Sus scrofa (pig), 2189 nucleotides. The record is from RefSeq and is a predicted model, not a curated record. Lineage: Eukaryota; Metazoa; Chordata; Mammalia; Artiodactyla; Suidae.
UAGUCCCCCAUGCUCUAGAGUAGAACCUCGUUGUUUAUCCAUUCCAUAUAUAAAAGAGUUUGCAUAUACUGUGUGAUAUUAGCUUAUGCCUCAUAUAUAAGAGUUCUUCUGUCUUUGUACUAAAAGAAGGAGAACUGGGAGACAGAUACACAUGUCCCACAUCAUGUCAUUUUUGUCAUUUUUUUCUCUGUGUAUGUGUGUGUGUGUGGUGCUGCUCCUGAAGCAUGUGGAAGUUCUUGGGCCAGAGAUUGAACCUGUGCCACAGCAGUGGCGUGAGCUGCUGCAGUGACAACACCAGGUCCUUAACCUACUGAACCACAAGGGAACUCCUGUUUUUUUUUUUUAAUUGAACGAGUUGCAGACAUUUAACCCUUUGUAUAAAACCUAGAGGUCUGGCUUCUUUUGACCAUCAGAGGGUCUGGAGGCAGCGUUUAGCUGGAGUAAACAGCUGCCCCCUGGGUUGGGGCAGAAGCUUUCAAUGUGGCACAGUCUCCACCUUCACUCACGUUUAUACCUGGUUUGCCUCCCUCACUGGCUCACCUGCCUGGCCCCCAUCAGCCCGUGUUUUCAGUGCCCGCUCUGUGGAUGAGGCCUUCCUAGGGGAAUGUCACUGUCAGCAAUCAAGGUGUUUCCUAUCCUCUUAACUUUCACCAGAUGACUCGCUUCUUUUGUGGAGACACAGAGCAGUGUUUUCUCCAAAUUCAAAACCUUUUCCUUGUCACUUCCUAAGAGAUUUAGGAGGCAGAAGGAUGGCAAGAUGAAAUGGACAGGGACAGGACAGCAGCAUGGAUGUUGCUGCCAGUCUCAUCCCCUCGACUCCAGCACCUAUUCAGAAAGAAGAGAGGAGAGGGGUCUGAAUAGGGGGACCAGCCUGAGAAACCAGGGGCUUCCAAGGAGGGGUGGGAGGUCGGGGCCUCCUGAGGGAUGGCAGUCUGGCGACCACGGUACCUCCUUCAUCCCUGGGGCCGACACCAGCCCUAUUUAUAACUCAGCUCUCAGCGUCCUUCAUGUUAAAUCCACAACUGAGAAGCCUGCAGGGUUGGAUGUGGAAAGUAGCUUCCAAGACCUCUGGGCUAGAAAGCUGCAUCCCGCCCCUGCAAGGGCCCUGGACUGGGGGCCAGAAAACUGGGGUUCUUGUUUGGGCCCUAGAUCUGUCGCUGAUGGGUUGCAUCUGCUUUGUAAGUUCUGCAGCUGAGUUAGGGUGUUUUCAUCAAAUCUUAGAAGGGGCUGUUCUGAGGAUCCAGUGAGAUGACUCAGCUAAAGAUAAAGAUAUAAAUUUAGAUAUAGACACAGUCAUUGGCACAGAUAAGACACAGAUACAGACAUAGAAACAGAUAUUGAUAUAUAGACAUACCUAGAUAGCAUGAAAGAGAAUUCAGAUAUGUCACUCUUACUAGAUGUGUAACUCAUGGAGAUCCAUGCUGAUGGGUCCAAGGCCUUGAGGUGAGAGAGAAUACAUCAGGAUUCAUCACUAGAGCAACUAUAGUGAAGUCAGGUGUAUGUGCUGAAGGAUAAUGGGGCAGGAUUUUAUUACCCACUAUUUCCAGGUAGUACAAUGGGCAUGUGGACUAGGAAGCCGUCACUGCGUUGGACGUUGGCCUUGCAAUGCAAACACCACCCCAUCCCACUCAGGACACGCCUGGGAAGGCACUCAGCUCAUUGAAAGAGCCCAUCAGUUUUGCUUCUUCUCUGUGACCCAUUCUGGGGAGCUGUGACCAACAGCAUAGCGGUAACUUCAGGCCCGCAAGAAGAGGGUGAAAAGUAGAUACAGUUAGCUCAUCAACUUGGAAAUGCCUUCAACAUGAAACGAAGAGUCAUCCUCAAAUUUUGCAGGAAAGAAGAGCCCCCUUUUGUUUGGUAAGAUGUCCAAAUAUUUGGAAAUAGUUGAAUCGAAAAGAAAAAUACAAGAAGUAUUUUUGUAUUUAAUUUGUAAUGUGUAAUCAAUUUACUUAACACAUUUAAUUUGUAGUAAGUGUACUACAUUUGAUUUUGUAGUUAAUAUACACCAAAGAUGCCCAACUGAAAUGCAGCAUUGCUCUGCAGAGCUGCGUAAAUACCAGCGACAGAUCCCAUGACCCAUGCAGACUGAAUCUAAUCAUUUGAGUAUUUGUUUCAAUACCACCUGUCCCUCUUCAUAUACUUCCUGAAUGUUGGUUUUGGUUCCUGAAUAUGGGAGAGGCAGCUGAAAG